Molecule: ribosomal RNA, 597 nt
Filed under: Triticum aestivum (bread wheat)
Lineage: Eukaryota; Viridiplantae; Streptophyta; Magnoliopsida; Poales; Poaceae
Description: partial small subunit ribosomal RNA
Source: RNAcentral
AUGGACGAUCUACUCUGUCCGCCUUCCUCUUUCCUUCCACCCACGUCGUCCUCCCAAUUUUGCACCGUGGGCCAUCAGGUACUCGAGUUCGUGUCCCAGGAUCUUCCCGAACAAUGGCUGUUCCACGACGGCAUGAUGUCCAAGAACGUGGACGGGGAGCUGUGGCCUAUGGGGAGCACGCUCCCCCGUAGCCCUCAGCUCUCCGAGCUACCGCCGCCGAGCCUCCUGCUUGCAAAUCCGCAGUGCCAUGCGAAGCGGCGAGGCCGGAAACCCGGGCCACGCUCUGACGGUCGCCACAGCGUCGGCCAUGUGCAGGCCGAGCGGCAGCGCCGCGACAAACUGAACCGUCGAUUUUGCGACCUCCGCGCUGUCGUCCCCAACGUGUCCCGUAUGGACAAGGCAUCACUCCUGGCUGACGCCGCCACCUACAUCGCGGAGCUGCGCUCCCGCGUAGCGUCCCUCGAGGAGGAGACCAACAAGGCAUUGGAGGAAAGCCCAACGGCCGCUUCUCGCGGUGGUCCGGCUUCCAAGUUCCUGCAGGUGGAUGAAACGGUGGAGGUGCGGAUGAUGGGACGUGACGCGGCCGCGGUGGUAUGA